Molecule: ribosomal RNA, 466 nt
Filed under: Vreelandella stevensii
Lineage: Bacteria; Pseudomonadati; Pseudomonadota; Gammaproteobacteria; Oceanospirillales; Halomonadaceae
Description: partial 16S ribosomal RNA
Rfam family: Bacterial small subunit ribosomal RNA
Source: RNAcentral
CCUACGGGUGGCAGCAGUGGGGAAUAUUGGACAAUGGGGGCAACCCUGAUCCAGCCAUGCCGCGUGUGUGAAGAAGGCCCUCGGGUUGUAAAGCACUUUCAGUGAGGAAGAACGCCUGGUGGUUAAUACCCAUCAGGAAAGACAUCACUCACAGAAGAAGCACCGGCUAACUCCGUGCCAGCAGCCGCGGUAAUACGGAGGGUGCGAGCGUUAAUCGGAAUUACUGGGCGUAAAGCGCGCGUAGGUGGCUUGAUAAGCCGGUUGUGAAAGCCCCGGGCUCAACCUGGGAACGGCAUCCGGAACUGUCAAGCUAGAGUGCAGGAGAGGAAGGUAGAAUUCCCGGUGUAGCGGUGAAAUGCGUAGAGAUCGGGAGGAAUACCAGUGGCGAAGGCGGCCUUCUGGACUGACACUGACACUGAGGUGCGAAAGCGUGGGUAGCAAACAGGAUUAGAUACCCGGGUAGUCC